GCGGAAGUAGUUCAGUGGUAGAACAUCACCUUGCCAAGGUGGGGGUCGCGGGUUCGAACCCCGUCUUCCGC
RNAcentral lists this transfer RNA (71 nucleotides) under Listeria monocytogenes. RNAcentral describes it as "tRNA-Gly". It matches the Rfam family "tRNA". From Rfam's summary of the family: Transfer RNA (tRNA) molecules are approximately 80 nucleotides in length. Their secondary structure includes four short double-helical elements and three loops (D, anti-codon, and T loops). Further hydrogen bonds mediate the characteristic L-shaped molecular structure. tRNAs have two regions of fundamental functional importance: the anti-codon, which is responsible for specific mRNA codon recognition, and the 3' end, to which the tRNAs corresponding amino acid is attached (by aminoacyl-tRNA synthetases). tRNAs cope with the degeneracy of the genetic code in two manners: having more than one tRNA (with a specific anti-codon) for a particular amino acid; and 'wobble' base-pairing, i.e. permitting non-standard base-pairing at the 3rd anti-codon position. RNAcentral also lists the same sequence under 1 other name. Lineage: Bacteria; Bacillati; Bacillota; Bacilli; Caryophanales; Listeriaceae. The record is from RNAcentral.